CCAAAUGCCUGUUUAUGACCUAGCUCAUGAUUUUUAGUGGGAAUUGCCAGAUAUAGAUAAUUCUUGCAAUUCAAAUUCAGCCUUUUUAUUUUUUUAAGUCUCUACAAGGGGAAUGCUAACAGUAACCCAAGCCAGGAAGGACCCAUGGGUGAAAAGAGCCACUUCACUUGCUUUUAAAAGGAGUGUUAGGCUCGGCAUGGUGGCACACACCUAUAAUCCCUGCGACUGGGGAGGCUGAGUCAGGAGGAUCAUGAGUUCAAAGCCAGCCUUAGCAAUUUAGCAAGGCCCUGUCUCUAAUAAAAUACAAAAAGGGCUGGGGAUGUGACUCAGUUGUUAAAUGCCCCUGAGUUCAAUCCCCCAGUAACACCCUUGCCCCCCCCCCAACAAAAAGGGAGUAUUGGGAUAUGAGACACAGCUUGUUUCUAAACACCUGCUCAUAAAUGUUCAAUUGAGGACCCCACUCACAUUCUAUUAAAUCACAAUCACAUUUUAUCAAUGUAUCCAUUUGAUUUGUAUGCACAUUAAAUUUGAGAAUUAUUCGCCUAGAACCAGGGAUAUUACCAACCAGUGAUAUCUGGCAAGUUCCGGGGUCCUGCCCUAGUGGCGUCCAGGGAGUCCUGAAGGAUGAGUGGUGGCUGCGAAAAGAUGAGACAGUCGUGUUGGAGCAAUCUCCAGAGAGCGAGCUCUAAUGGAGCUUUCUCUGGAUCAUCUUUUAUUACAAUUUUUCUCAUCAUUAUAGAUUCAAAAUACAUCAUUGAUUAUACAAUUUCAAAACUUUGCCAAGACAUAAUGUUUUCUUAACCAUAAUUAGAGUAUAGAAAAAUGUAAUAUCAAUUUACAUUUUUCCAGGAUGUGACUUUUAGUUAUCAAUCAUUAAUAAGAUGUGUCACUAAUUUACAUUUUUUCAGAUUUUCCUAAGAUGUACUAUUUUCUUAUUAACUAAUGCCAAAGUACGUAACCAGACUCUAAGUCUCCUAACCUAUCAUUAACCUUUAAGUUUUAAAGUACACCUGCACUUUUAUUUCUAAUCUAAGAUUCCCAUCUAAAAAAGUCCCCUUACGGGGCUGGGGAUGUGGCCCAAGUGGUAGCGCGCUCAUCUGGCAUGCUUGCGGUCCAGGUUUGAUCCUGAGCACCACAUGCAUACAAAAAUGUUGUGUCCGCCGAAAACUAACUAAAUAAAUAAAUAAAAAGUCCCCUUAAAUCUUAAAGUAUCCUAAAGUUUAUUAACCAUUCUUAAAACAUAUUAGAAACCCAUACAAUAAAAACUUAAGAAUUCUAAACCCAAGAAUCUAAAUAGAAUAAUACUUCUAACAUUAUUCUAAAAAUAUAUCUUUUAAAGCUACUUUAAUUUAUUCCUAAAUUUAUUCUCAUAAAACUGAUUGAGCUGCUUUCUCAAAGUGUUUCUUUGUUUCUCAGUCAAGGUGCACUGGUUCUUAUAUCUUUAUAAUCUUUCUCAAUAAAAAGUAAGUUCUAAACAUCAGUCCACUUUCCACCAGUAUUAAGUAUGCUCAUCAUAAAUCCCUAUGUGAAGUAAAAGAGGGUUUAUAGGGAAAUGAAAAGAAUGUAUCCUUAUAUGUCUUAACUUUCCUAAGUGUAUAACUUAACUUUCCUUAAUCAAAAAUUAAAC
This 1627-nucleotide long non-coding RNA is filed under the name Marmota monax (woodchuck). The record is from RNAcentral. Lineage: Eukaryota; Metazoa; Chordata; Mammalia; Rodentia; Sciuridae.